UGGGGAAUAUUGCACAAUGGGGGAAACCCUGAUGCAGCGACGCCGCGUGAGUGAGGAAGUAUUUCGGUAUGUAAAGCUCUAUCAGCAGGGAAGAAAAUGACGGUACCUGACUAAGAAGCCCCGGCUAACUACGUGCCAGCAGCCGCGGUAAUACGUAGGGGGCAAGCGUUAUCCGGAUUUACUGGGUGUAAAGGGAGCGUAGACGGAGGAGCAAGUCUGAUGUGAAAAUCCGGGGCCCAACCCCGGAACUGCAUUGGAAACUGUUUAUCUAGAGUGUCGGAGAGGCAAGUGGAAUUCCUAGUGUAGCGGUGAAAUGCGUAGAUAUUAGGAGGAACACCAGUGGCGAAGGCGGCUUGCUGGACGAUGACUGACGUUGAGGCUCGAAAGCGUGGGGAGCAAACA
This 402-nucleotide ribosomal RNA is filed under the name uncultured Ruminococcus sp. Its description in RNAcentral is "bacterial SSU rRNA". It matches the Rfam family "Bacterial small subunit ribosomal RNA", at positions 355 to 774 of the family's 1533-position model. The record is from RNAcentral. Lineage: Bacteria; Bacillati; Bacillota; Clostridia; Eubacteriales; Oscillospiraceae.